GGCGGGUGGGUGCGGGCGGCCGCGCCGCUCUGCUCGGUUCGCCCAUUAGGAAGCAGUCGUAGUUUAUGCGUCGCAUCUGCAUUUCAGACCGAUUAUUGUACCUAAUGACGGUUGGUUGCUAAUAUUUCCUCAAUCUCUCUCUUAGUCAAGCGCUUCUUCUUCUGUAUUUUCGUGUGUAGCGACGUGUAAUGCGCUAGGCAUUAUCGGCUUUGUUUCAGAGUAUCUCCUGUACUGCGUUCAAUUUCCUUACGUUCCUUUUUUUAAGCUUUGCUACUGUUCUCACUUUAUGCCGUGCAAUAUCAUCUGCUGUGUUUGCUAAGCAAAAAAAAAAAAAAAAAAAAAAAAAAAAAAAA
Molecule: long non-coding RNA, 353 nt
Filed under: Gallus gallus (chicken)
Lineage: Eukaryota; Metazoa; Chordata; Aves; Galliformes; Phasianidae
Source: RNAcentral